This 253-nucleotide ribosomal RNA is filed under the name uncultured bacterium. RNAcentral's name for it is "partial 16S ribosomal RNA". It matches the Rfam family "Bacterial small subunit ribosomal RNA", at positions 524 to 776 of the family's 1533-position model. The record is from RNAcentral.
UACGUAGGGGGCUAGCGUUGUCCGGAAUCAUUGGGCGUAAAGCGCGUGUAGGCGGCCCGGUAAGUCCGCUGUGAAAGUCCAGGGCUCAACCCUGGGAUGCCGGUGGAUACUGUCGGGCUCGAGUCCGGAAGAGGAGUGUGGAAUUCCUGGUGUAGCGGUGAAAUGCGCAGAUAUCAGGAGGAACACCAAUGGCGAAGGCAGCACUCUGGGACGUGACUGACGCUGAGAGACGAAAGCCAGGGGAGCAAACGGG